GCAGGGACAGAAGAGUGCAAAUACAAACGAGAAAGCAAAGCACAAGAGCUUGCCAAGUGGGCGCACGCAUGUUAGAUAUACGUUACAGACAGACACGUGUCCUGCUCUCCGCUGUCUGGGGUCUGAGUAGUAUGAUUUUAGGCAAAACAUUCACCCCCCGCACCACCCUCCCAAUAUUCUCAGUUGCCAAGCCAGCGCAGAGCAGAGCAGAAGAAUGGCGGAGAAUUCAUCGCCGUUUCCGAAGCCAAUUCGACAAUCCAAUGCGGCCGGAUCCGUGUCUCAUAGCCUAACCAUCCCCUCACCGCCCCCAUCCGUGGACGCCCACCGAAUUCCCUUACCUCCAUCUCAGCAACCGCCGAUGACGCCGUCUACACUUCCGUGGCUUCAACAACAAAUGCUACAGCAACGGCCGAGCAAUUUGACGGCCGCAUGGAAUAUCCAGAUGCCACACAGGACGCCUUCCACGUCGAGGGUGCAUCAGGUGCAGCACGGCGCGGCGGCGGCGGCGUUGCGGCCGCAGAUGAACUUGGGCGGCGGCGGUCUCGCUCAGCAACCACAGCAACAGCAGAUGGCGAGAUCGGCAUUGAUAGGGCAGACUGGCCAACUGCCUAUAUUGUCCGGCCAAGCCGGGGCGGCGUCAGCUGCGUCCCAGUUCAAUUUGCAACCGCCGUUGUUAGCACUGCCUAGGCAGAAAAGCAGGUUAUUGCAAGGAUCCCAGUUCCCUGCUGUUAGUUCGGCCGGGCAAGCUCUAGAGGGAAUGAUGGGACCUCUCAACUUGAACUCUCAAAUUAGAGCAAAAAGGCCUCUUCCAUAUGCCCAACGGAUGAACCAGGGGCAUUUAAGGCAGCAGCUGUCACAACAACAUUCGCUUCCAUCAAAUCAGGGUCAAAAUGUACCGAGGGCCUCAUUUAUAAACCCUCAGUUAUCUGGGCAGUCAGUUUUGAACCCUUUCUCUCCGCAACAAUGGUCGAAGCAAGAACCAACGAUGUCUAAUCCUAAUUCUCCCUAUCAUCUUCAACACCAGAGGCUAGAACAACUACUUUUGCAGCAACAACUAGCUUCGUCCUCUCAGAUGCAGCAAAAUUCUACAUCAUUGAACCCACAGCAGUUUUCCCAGCCUGUACAGCAGCAGCAGCCGAUGGUGCAUCCACAACUCAGUCAGCAGCAACAGCAGCAGCAUCAAGUUCUGAAUCAGCAACAGCAGCGGUCUCCAACGAGGGCAGUGCCUGCUGGCCAAAAGUAUCUCAGUUUGACAGGAUCACAGCCAGAUGAUACUGGAUCUGGAACAACUACACCAGGGGGGAGUUCAAGCCUGGGAGCAGAAGCAAACAAUCGACUUCUUGGGAAGAGAAGAAUUCAGGAUUUGGUUUCCCAGGUGGAUCCAAAUGCAAAACUAGAUCCUGAAGUCGAAGAUCUUCUUUUGGAUCUUGCUGAUAACUUUGUCGAUUCGGUAACUACAUUCGCAUGCAACUUGGCAAAGCAUCGCAACUCUUCAACUCUAGAAGCCAAGGACUUGCUGCUUCAUCUAGAGAAAGAUUGGAAUUUGACUGUUCCUGGUUUCUCAAGUGAAGAAAAAAAAUAUCAACAGGAUCAGCAAUCAAGUGAUCUUCACAAGCAGCGUCUCGACUUGGUUUGGGGCAGUGGAGGCAAUCCAAUCCACUUGCACUUUCUCAACAGCUUUUGCAUAAUAUUUCAUCAUCUCCAUUUCCAACUAGCACAGGAAAAAGGGCUUCCAAUUUUGCUAGUUUGCUCUGUGAAAAGAAACCCUCAUUGAAGAGGGAUUUACUUCACUGUGGAUUUGCAAUGUUGGGAUGUUUUCCACUUGUGCGCUCUUUAAGUUUUUCUGCAGAGUCGAUAAGUUCAGCAUCUGGAGAGGCUGAAGACUGGAGAUAUUGAAACACAAAUCUGAUUGCAACAUGGUCUGGAGGAUUGGGGUACAGGACGGAUGAUUGGCACCAGGCGUGACUUUAAGAGACUUUACCAUCUUGCCUUGUCGUUAUAUAUGGCAUUUGCCUAUGCUACUUUGUCUUCGUUGACUUUUCUAGAAUGCGAGUCUUGUCAACUAGGCAAACAUGUUCAUUCUUCUUAUUCUAGUCGUCUUAAUAAAUGAGUUAAUGCUCCUUUUGAUCUUAUACAUUCUGACAUUUGGGGUCCUAGUAGAGUCAAGUCUAAACAGAGUUUCUCCUAUUUUGUUACAUUCAUUGAUGAUCAUUCUCGUUGUACUUGACUUUAUUUAACGAAAGAUUGUAUUGAAUUGCAAUCUUUAUUCACUUCCUUUUGUAAUGAAAUUUCUACUCAAUUUGGUCAUACCAUUCGGAUCCUUCGCAGUGAUAAUGCCAAGGAAUAUUGUUCUCAUGCAUUUCAAGCUUUGCUCUCAUCACGGGGUAUUGUUCAUUAGUUCUCUUGUCCUUAUACUCCACAACAAAAUGGGGUGGCUGAACAUGAAAAUCGUCAUCUCAUUGAGACUGCUUAGACGCUUCUCCUUCACAUACAUGUUCCUGUUGUUUUUUAGGAUACCACUUUUCUCACUUCUAGUUAUCCGAUCAACUGAAUGCCGUCCACUGUUUUGAAUGGAGCCAUUUCACAUACUUUACUUUUUCCUCGUGAUCCCAUCUAUCCUAUCCUCCCCCGUGUCUUUAGAUCAACUUGUUUUGUCCAUCUUCUUUCCCUUGGUCGUGAUAAAUUAUCUCCUCGCUCGAUCAAGUGUGUAUUUCUAGGCUACUCUCGUCAUCAAAAGGGAUACAAGUGCCACUCUCUUGAAUUUGGUAGAUACUUUCUCUAUUCUGAUGUCACAUUCUUUGAGUUUACACAUUUUUUCUCUUCCUUGUCUGAUGGGUCUUCUUCCUCCCUUCAUGAGGUUCUUCAUGUCCCUUCUUUUCCUCCUAUGGUCCCAGUACUUGUUCAUAUUCCUCUUGUUCUUCUUUAGACUUAUCAGUGUCGUCUUAAGCCUCCAUUAGUGCCUCCAGCUCCAGCUCCUCCUAUUGUCGGUGAUGGUAUUCGUUCAGACUCAUGUCUUCCUCCAGUUGGUGCCAUUAUUCCAUCUCCCUCCAACUCUGCCCAAGCUCCUAUUCACUGUGGCACACAUUACACUCGAAAUCCUUAUCCCAUUUAUACUUUUGUGAGCUAUCACCGUUUGUCACUUGUUUAUUCGGCUUUUGUAUUUGCUAUCUCUUUUGUUUCUAUUCCUAAGACAGAUGCUGAAGCUUUUUCUCACCUUAGGUGGAGACAUGCUAUAGAUGAGGAGAUGUCUGCCUUGCUGCCUAAUGUGGCGUGGGAUCUAGUUCCUCUCCCUCCGAGGAAGUCUGCUAUUGGUUGUCGGUGGGUGUUGGUUCAGAUGGCUUUCUUGAUCGUCUGAAGGCUUGGUUGGUUGCUAAGGGUUAUACUCAAAUUUUUGGCCUAGACUAUGGUGAUACAUUUUCUCCCAUAGCUAAGAUUUCUUCUAUUUGUGUUUUUCUUGCAAUGGCCACUAUUCAACAGUGGCCUCUUUAUCAAUUGGAUAUUAAAAAUGCUUUUCUUCAUGGCAACCUUCAAGAGGAAGUGUAUUGGAGCAACCUCUUGAGUUUGUUGCUCAGGGGGAGUCUCAAUUGGUAUGUCGCCUAAAGAAGUCCUUAUAAUGGCCUAAAACAAUCUCCUGUGUGCUAGUUUGGUUGCUUUAGUUUUGCCAUCCAAUCUUUUGGUAUGAGUAGAAGUGAAGCUAAUCAUUCUAUUUUCUAUCACCAUUCUCCUAGUGGGGUCAUGUUAUUGGUGAUGUAUGUAGAUGACAUUGUUAUUGCAGGAGAUGAUAAGGUUGGUAUUGAGCAGUUGAAGACUCAUUUGCAUUCUCAUUUUCAGACCAAGAAUUUGGGCAGGUUGAAGUAUUUUCUUGGCAUUGAGGUAGCUCAAUUUGCCCAUAAUGUGCGCCUCUCUCAAAGGAAGUAUGCCAUAGAUAUUUUGGAAAAGACCAGUAUGCUUGAUUCCUAGCCUAUAUAUACUCUUAUGGAUCCUAAUGCCUAAUGUUAAGCUUGUACCAAGACAGUGGGAAGCCAUUGGAGGAUCCUUGGCAAUAUAGGAGGCUGGUUGGGAAGCUUACUUACUUCACUAUUGCACGACCAAAUAUCUCUUUUGUUGUUAGUGUGGUUUAACUUUGCAUGCAGCUUGGCAAAGCUUCUCAAUUCUUCGACUCUUGAAGCUGCCGCUCCCAGACUUAUUAUACCCAUUGGAAAAUUGAGAGAAGUUGCAAUACGUGCAUCUCUGGUCACUUUUAUCUGCACUCUUCACGUGGCAUCUUUUCUGACUGGAUUUGCAGAGAACAUUUUACACCCAAACAAACGGAUUUUCAUGCAAGUCAACAAUGUAGAUGCGAAUGCAGAUUAGAUGAAAUGUAAGGGUAUUGGAGUCUACUGUUGGGAUAAUAUCCACUGCAUCCAUUGACGAGAUAAACUUAUUUCCUAUUUCUUCUCAAGGCGAAUUGCAGUCUCAAUUUAACUGAAGAAGAUCGAGAAAAUAUCAAAAGAAUCGGGUAAGCUUCCAAACUUGUUUACAAGAUGUUGUUGCGUGUAUGUAUGUAGCUAUGUUUGUGUGAAUAUAACUAGCAAAAUAUUGUUUACAUUAGUCCUUAUGGGUACUUCAUUUUUCAAAUUUUGGAUUUCAACAAGUUUCAGAUCAAUAUUAGAAAAUUUGAACAUGUUUUGCCCAUUAUAAAAUGUUAAAGUGGACUCCUAAACAGUAUGAAUACGUAUUGACCUUUGUUACUCAAAUUUCAUAAUUAGCCCAUGUUUGGUCUACUAUUAGGAUCUUGUUGGAGUGGAUAGGCUAGCAUUUGAAUACCAAAUACUGUAGCCACAGGCGACAUACAAUACAUAAAUUGUACCAUUAAUUGUUGCAUAUAAGAUUACUAUAUACUGUGAUUUAUAAUAUGAUAUAUUGGAUUCAAUCCAUUUUAUAGGUGUAGUUCAUACCUGAACAUAUAAGCUCCAGUCCAAACUGCAAAAUGGGUGGAGUUGACUGAAUUAAACAUUAGUUACUGUACUUGUACUCAUAUGCAGCGUAGCGGGGAUGACUUCCUGCAUACUAUGCCAAAACAGAAAGUUAAUCCCGCCGUGACCUUGUGCAUAAGUGAAAAAGGUGUAGCUACCCUUAGUUGCAAAAUACUACGAUAGUGUUCUCUUUGUGUUUUAGUUUUCAGUUUUGAAUUUUAUUUUCAGUUUUGUGUUUUGAAUGUCUAUUUUGAGAAAAUUAAAAACGUAUUCUUUUUGUUAUUCUGAAAAAUUAUUUUUUAAAUUUGAAAACUCGAAAACGCAUUCACUUUGAAAUUUGCAAAAAAAAAUAUUUUAUAAUAUUUUAUUUAAUAAAUUUGAUUAUUCAUUAAUGAUAAUAUUAUUUUUAUUUUUUUAUAAUUUAAAAAUCUUAGGUUCAACUUUUAGUGCAUACACUAAAUUAGAUGUUGGGUUAAAUAAUAGAAUAAUAUAAUUAAUGAUUAAACUUAAUUAAUAAUAAAAACAAAAUAAUUGAGAAAUUAGUUCUUGCCAUUUCCUAGGCUUCCCAUCCCAAGCAAAGCUUGCUUCAACUUCUACAGGAAAAAGAGCUGAUGUAAGCAAAUGGCGAUCGAGGAUAGGGAAGAAGAGACAACUAGCAUAAUUGAACGGCAAAGGGAAAGAAGAAACGACUGGUGAAGGCGAGGCGCGAUAGAUCUAAGUUGUUAGUCACGACGGUGACAACUUGCGGCGGUGAUGGCUGUGGUAGGCACGUCGUUGGCUAACAAGGGGGAAAGAGAGAGGAAGAGACAGAGGACUCCGAUAUGGAAAAAAAGAAGGAAGAGCGAGACCACGGCUUGCGACGAAGAUGGUCAUGGCAGGUGCGUUGCCGCCCAACAAGGAAGAGAGAGAAGACUCCGAUAUGGAAGAGAUAGACGACGUUGAGCGGCGAUGAUGGCCAUGGCAGGCGUGUUAUCGACCAAGAAGGAAGAGAGAAAGGGGAGAGAAGAGGUAGCAAGAAGACUCGUCAAUCUGGAAAAGAGAAUGGAGAGAAAAGAGGCAGGUGCGGGUUUUGCGCAUUUUGAUUUUUUGGCCGCGUUUUGGCUGAAAACAACCAAAAUGGUUUUUUGCUAUUUUGAAUUUUCUUUACAAAUUUUUUUUCUUGUUUUCGAAAAUGCAUUUUUGAAAAUAGAAAAGAGAACGCGUUUUCAGUAUUUUACAAAAUUGAAAACUCAAAACGAGUUGAAAACAACAAAGAGAACAUGUCUUAUUGGUUACAUACAAUUUAGCAAAUUAUUAAAGUUUGAUAUGAAGUGUAUGGAUCUAAAUAAAGAUAUAACAAAAGACAAAAAUAUAUGAAAAUUUAGAAUUCAUAUAGUCGAUCUCACAUAGUGAAAUAAAUGCUAGAUAUAUUGUUGUACUUCUUAUUGUAUUCCAAUCUCGCUACUUGGAGUAGCAAGCGAUAGUAUAACUCACAACAUCAUAAUUUUACAACCAAUCUACAAUUGGUCAAUCCAAAGCCACAACAUCAUAACUGGCUGGUUACUGCCAAUUGUGAGUUUCUCUGCCCGCCCUGCAUUAACAUUAAGCACAAAGGUUUCUGAGGACACAAACAUUGUAUUCACAAUCAACAACCAAGGAAAGAACACCAACAUCCAAAUAUGUCAGUAAAAGAACAUCCAGUAAAUUCAAAAUAGCAAUGUGAUAAAUUUAUAUUAUGUCUCUCCUUGCUACAUUAUGCUUUCAUACAUAUCAGCAGGUAGGAAAUUUCCUUGUUUUAGAACUAAUGUAUUACGUCUUCCCUAUAUUUAUAUUUUAUAUCUAAUUACUGGAAAUUAUCUGCUAAUUUGAGGCUGAAAUGAUUAUGUUUGCUCUAAUCUGAUUCAAAGGUAAAGCCCAUUAAUUCUGCAUCUUUCCCCACCUUUAAUGAAGUGCAAAUAAAAGUGGAACUAACAUGGAAAAGUUAAAUAUUUUGAAUGUGAAAAUGAGUUCAGUCGGGAACACUGCUCUUCUAUGUUUCUUUCUUAUGAUGUUUCUUUGUGGAGCCGAAAUACUGCUAAGUCUUUUAGUAUUUGGUCAGUCUUUUUAGAAUUUGAAAAUGAUUAGUGAAAUUAAUUUAUAAAAUAUCUAAAAUAGUUUCAAAAUAUUGCUAUUCAAAGUCUUUAUAUAUUUUAUUGAUGCCAAACGAUAAAAAUCCUAAAUGUUCUUUCAAUAUAAAAUCCUUUGUGGGAAAUCUUUCUUCUUGAAAAAUAACAUUAUAGCAUCAAAGAAAAAUUAUUUUGAAGCCCCUAGGGCACGGGUCAAGUAGUUGGCCUACGAUAAGUUGGA
RNA transcript from Diospyros lotus (date-plum), 7280 nucleotides. It is a transcript of the gene named transcription initiation factor TFIID subunit 12b-like, with no coding region annotated. The transcript has 13 exons. Lineage: Eukaryota; Viridiplantae; Streptophyta; Magnoliopsida; Ericales; Ebenaceae. The record is from RefSeq and is a predicted model, not a curated record.